GAGUGGGUGGCGGCGGGGAAGAGGUUGCUGAGUUCUCAGCCCUCCCGGCGAGGGGUCCCCGCUGGCGGGGUCUGGGUGACCCCUCCCCCAGCCCGGGGAGACUGGAGCCUCUUCCCUGAGGGGGGGGUCCCCUCCCCCCAGCCCGCUGCGCUGCCUCCCGGGUUUCCCGCCCAGGGCCGCAGGCCCGGCUCGCGCCCCCCGGCCGAGCCCCGCGGGUAAGGCGCCUGCAGCGCGGCGGGGCGGGCGCGGCGUUGUCUCCUCCGCGCUGGGCCCGCGGGGUUUCCCAGCCCCGCAGAACUCCCGUCUCCCUCCUGGGCUGGUCCAGCACCACCCGCCUCCGGCUUCGCAGCGGGUAGACAACAGCCCCACGCCGCAGCCCGGAGCUGGGCCCCGUUCUCGUUUUCCCCGUAACGAGCCCUGUUGCUACCCUGCUUCCAGGGCCCCCGUGCUGCUUGGGCAUCUCCUGCCUGUCCGCCCGUGUCUUGGCCCAGCGCAGCCGAGGCAGAGAGCACAGGACCUGCCCGGAGCCGCAGAAGAAGUCCGAGGCCGAGCUGGGAAUUGGACGGAGAGCCCUGGAGUCCCGGCCCUGUCAGCCCUAAAACCCGCAGUUCUUUCCCCCCUGGAGGCCGUUUGUUUCCAUCUUCCUGUAAUCCAGGGGCUCUCAAACUGGAGGUCGGGACCCCUCGGGGGGUGGUGAGGUUAUUAUAGGGGGGUCGCGAGCUGUCCGCCUCCACCCAGGCCCCGCUUUGCAUCCAGCAUUUAUAAUGGUGUUAAAUAUGCAAAAAAGUGUUUUUAAUUUAUAAGGGGGGGGGUUCGCACUCAGUGGCUUGCUGUGUGAAAGGGGUCACCGGUACAAAAGUUUGAGGGCCACUGCUGUAAUGCUACUGGAUAGCAGACGAGUGCCUUGGUGCUCGGGUUUGCAACAGCGGCAAGCACUUGAAGAUGACUGAAGUUUUGCUGCAAGGAUCGAUGCAGACUUGGUGCAGCUGCUUAUUGUUUUUAUGUCUGUAGCAAUAUAUUAGGCUAAUAAAGCUAUGCCCGAGAGGGGAAUGGGGAGGCUCCAGUGGUUAGGACACAAGCCUAGAACGUGGGAAACCUUGCUUCAUGUUCCUGCUCUAUUACAAACUUCCUGUUUGACACUGAGUCCAUCACUUAGCUGCUCUGUGCCUCACUUCCCCAUCUGGAAAACUGGGAUAAUAAUAAUAAUAGCUAGUUCUUAUCUAGUGCUUUUCAUCAGAUCUCAAAACACUUUACAAAGGAAGUCAUUAUCAUUAGCCCCCAUUUUACAGAUGGGGAAACUGACGCAUGGAAGGGGGAAGUGACUAGGCCAAGGUCAUCCAGUAGGCCAACCGGAGAGCCCAGAAUAGAAAGAAGGACUUUCCUUCCUCAGGGUGGUAUUGUGACAAUAAAUACGUUACAGUUUGUAAGGUGCUCAGUAUGACAAUGGGGGCCAUAUAAGAACCUUAAAUAGACUAUAUUCAGUGUGAACAAGUCCUGCCAGUUGAGUUUAUUACUGUAAAUAUAUAUAUACUUACACAAAAAAUAUGUAUAUUUCCUUCAUGGAGUUCAUCAGUAAUAUAUCAUGUAGACAGGUAAUACUCAGUGUGACAACUUUAUUGCAAAUCUAUGAAAUACUCUGUCACAUGACAUGGCACAACCUAUGGCUUCUUAAGUCUGUUGAUACAAUCAGAAAUGCUUGGAUUAAAUAGAUGUGUAUUUAAAAGAAAAUCAUGCAGGGUACAUUCUUAACCAUGACUGUAAGUUAUUGUUAUUGGCCAGAGCUUGAGGAGGGCUGGAGUGAUGAAAUAGAGGACCAGAUCAUUAACUGAUUUAAACGGGCAUAGCAUCUUCUAUUUGAAUGAUGCUAUACCGGUUUCCACCAGCUCAGAAUCUGGCCCAGAGUAUUUUAACUAGAUUUUGAGAGUCAAGCUGGACACUUUCUGUGGCUUACAUGUGACCAUCAGUGAAAGAUUCUGCAGUUUGAAUUUAGCUUAUUCUAUUAGUGAUGCAUGAGCGAGAAUGGAAUCCAGCUCAUUCUCCCAUGAGCAUAUUAGGCUAAUAUUAAAAACUUAUUUUAGUCAGCAAAAAGCAGCUAUGACUUGGAACACAGGCAGGGAGUAGAUGUUAAAGUUAAGUGUAAAGUUUCCAUUUGUAAAUAGUCCUUUUUUCUGAUCAUAAGCAUGUUUUAAAAUUGUAAAUAUCAGUGGGAUAUUAACCCAUAUUGCAUAACUGGCCCUUUAUCUCCUUUUUCAAGGGGUAGCCGUUCCGAGGGAGGAGACUGAGUGGUAGAAUGGCCUUUGUGGUGGAGAUGGUGCCGAUCUUUAAGUUCAGCAUCUGGAAAGCUGCAAGAGUUUCAUUUACUUUUAGUUGCAACAGUCAUUUUCAGGCAGUCAAACAUUUUUCAACUCAGGAGAAGGAGCCCUCGCAAUCUGCAUCACCCCCAGGGUUUGGGAAUGAAGGAAAUUCACACCACCACGGCAGCCACCAUUUUCCAAUGUCGGGACUUGGGGAUGCUGCACAAGUGAUGCCUAAAUCACAUCCUCCUCACAAAAGCUAUAAAGGUCUCGCCCGUCAGAAGAAUUUGCGGUGGCAGUGGAAGUCUAACAUGAGAAGCACUGAGCAGGCUGCAUCUUCCAGUGAGGAAUUUAGGAACCUGAGAGAGGAUGACUUUUCAAAAGAGCGGAAAAGACAAGUGCCAAAGCCUACAUCCAUUGAAAGGACCAAAGGUUCGGAGAUCCUGUUUGGCAUUGCGCCCUGCUCCCUGGCUUUGUCGCAGUCAAAGAGGGACUUUUUCAAGUUAUUCCUCAAGUCGGGCAGCAGCUGCGCACGGCCUGUGAUGGAAGAGUUUGCCCAACGAGCUAAGGCCUGCGGGGUCCCCGUGCACCAUGUUAGAAGGCAGGUGCUGGAUGCCCUUUGCAAAGGUCAAGUCCACCAGGGAGUUUGCUUAGAGGCUACUCCUCUCCAUUUUAGGAGCUUGGAAGAAGCUGAAGCUUCCCAUGUUGGGGUUGCCACUGGACUGGGCACACAGCUGAUUUGGCUGGUGCUGGAGCAGAUACAGGAUCCUAUGAAUCUGGGUGCAGUGCUGCGUUCCGCGCACUUCUUAGGAGUUGACAGAGUGGUGACCAGCCGAAAGGACAGCUGCCCCCUUACUCCUACAGUGAGCAAAGCAAGCGCUGGAGCCAUGGAGGUUUUGGAAGUAUACAGCACAGAUAAUCUCCAGAGAUUUCUGAAGGGAAUGAAGGGUAUGGGCUAUCUUCGGAGACACAAAGUUUGUGCCACAGGAUGCUAAUCAUCCCUCCUGGAAGAACGUUGCAGCCUGGGAUCGAAUCAUUAAAUGUCUCUGUUGCUACUGGGAUUCUCUUGCAUUCUAUAUGCAGCCAAAAAAUAAAGUAACAGAAUGUGAUUUUUACCAUGAAUUGCGUAGAUCUUUACAAAUCCAACCCUUUUGAGCAGGGAAAACAGUUCAGCGUUGUGUGGUUUCACUGACAAUAAGUAGAGGUGGACACCCUUUUGCACUUUCCAGAGUCUUUGUACAGCUGUGAGCUCCUGAGAAGCUAAGGAGAAAGUAAACACUGAACCUUCUGCUGUGAAAUGUUCAACUUAAACUUUAGAAGAUUCCAGAUACCAUUCCAGGUUAUGUCCAAUGUCCUGCACUCCAGGUUGUCUCUGCACAAUAUUCCACCUGAGCAUUGGAUGCACUUGCUUCAUCAAGCUGUGUUUACAGACUGCAAAAGCUCCAGGAACCUGAUGAAUACAUAAACUCCCAAGAGACAAGAUUAAAGGAAAAUGUGACAGAGAGAGAGCUAGAUUUCAAAAGCGGAGCCAAAUCUCUCUGUGUUUACUGAUGCAAAACAGUCAUUAAAGUAAAUGAACCUUGGAUUUUUUUACACUAACACCCCUUUACAGAACUCAUUGCAGCAAAGAUCUCACUAGGAAUAAGGACUGCAGAGUCGGGCCUAUUCUGUAUUUUUUUCAUAGUGUGAUGGUGUUUCCCAUUCCACAUCACUGUUUGGACAUCUGAAAAAGUUGCAUUGAAUCUGACUGUAAAAUAGGUCCGUAAACUCAAUCGUGUGACAGAUGUGACCUAUAAUGAAACUCAGUUGAGGGGGAAAAAAAGUAACCCAUUGAAAUAAAACUGUCUAAAGAUUUGUCAUA
Caretta caretta (loggerhead turtle) is the source of this 4155-nucleotide non-coding RNA. The record is from RefSeq and is a predicted model, not a curated record. NCBI's taxonomy places the organism in Eukaryota, Metazoa, Chordata, Testudines, Cheloniidae.